AAUCAACGCUGGCGGCGUGCCUAACACAUGCAAGUCGCACGAGAAAGGGACUUCGGUCCUGAGUACAGUGGCGCACGGGUGAGUAACACGUGAAUCAUCUACCUUCGAGUGGGGAAUAACUGAGAGAAAUCUUAGCUAAUACCGCAUAAUACCUAUGGGUCAAAGCAGCAAUGCGCUUGAAGAGGAGUUCGCGGCAGAUUAGUUAGUUGGCAGGGAAUGGCCUACCAAGACGAUGAUCCGUAUCCGGCCUGAGAGGGCGCACGGACACACUGGAACUGAACACGGUCCAGACUCCUACGGGAGGCAGCAGUGGGGAAUUUUGCGCAAUGGGGGAAACCCUGACGCAGCAACGCCGCGUGGAGGAUGAAAUCCCUUGGGAUGUAAACUCCUUUCGAUCGGGAAGAUAAUGACGGUACCGAGAGAAGAAGCCCCGGCUAACUUCGUGCCAGCAGCCGCUGUAAG
Molecule: ribosomal RNA, 462 nt
Filed under: uncultured bacterium
Lineage: Bacteria
Description: bacterial SSU rRNA
Rfam family: Bacterial small subunit ribosomal RNA
Source: RNAcentral